GUACUGCUGAAGAGUCCCAAACUAGGACGAAAUAUCUGUCCAGUAG
This is a non-coding RNA of Trichobilharzia regenti, 46 nucleotides long. The record is from Rfam. Lineage: Eukaryota; Metazoa; Platyhelminthes; Trematoda; Strigeidida; Schistosomatidae.